GUAACACCCCACUUUCCCUCAUGCUUCCCUUCUUUAUUCUUCUUCCACCUUUUCACUUUCCUUUUUCAUUCAAGCUUUCUCUUCCCUCUAAUUAAUGGAGCCCCUCAGUAUUUCAAUUCUAUCAUCCCAGAAAAAUCCUAAGAUCACCAUCACCAUAUUUAUCUUUUCUCUCUCCUAUUGAGUUUUAAUUCUUUAGCCUUUCAUGUGCUUGUUCCGAGAAUUAUGAGCAACAACCGUUAGUUUGGUUGGAGAUGAAUGAGUGAAUGAAAGUGUGGGGCGUGGAUCAGAAACAUCAAUCACAGGAAGCUGCCAUUACAAAGUUUCUCAGGGAAAGGGAAAGAGAAGACUCAAUGUUUUAUGUGACGGAAUUGCCGAGGCAUCUGAACUAGAGAUUGAAGCAUAUCCUGUGCUUGACGAACUAACAUAAAAAAUCAGUACUUUAAAUUUAGAGCGCGUGCGCCAAUUGAAAAGCGGACUUGUUACUUUAACUCGGAGAGUCCAGAAGAGCAGCUGAUGGAUGAUGAUGGGGAUAAGGCAGAAAUGUAUGUUACGGAGAAGAAAACACCAAAUAAAAUAAUAACUUUGGUCACAAAAUUAACCCUUACAUGGGUAUGUGGGUUUGUGUUUUAUGCUUCGCUCUGUUAACAUUUUUGUAGUGUACAUUUCUUAUUUAACCCUAAUAUGGGUAUGUGG
Spinacia oleracea (spinach) is the source of this 693-nucleotide long non-coding RNA. RefSeq lists it as uncharacterized. The transcript has 3 exons. The record is from RefSeq and is a predicted model, not a curated record. NCBI's taxonomy places the organism in Eukaryota, Viridiplantae, Streptophyta, Magnoliopsida, Caryophyllales, Amaranthaceae.